This 253-nucleotide ribosomal RNA is filed under the name uncultured bacterium. Its description in RNAcentral is "partial 16S ribosomal RNA". It matches the Rfam family "Bacterial small subunit ribosomal RNA", at positions 524 to 776 of the family's 1533-position model. The record is from RNAcentral.
UACGAAGGGGGCUAGCGUUGUUCGGAUUUACUGGGCGUAAAGCGCGUGUAGGCGGGCUGAUAAGUUGGGGGUGAAAUCCCGAGGCUCAACCUCGGAACUGCCUCCAAAACUGUCAGCCUGGAGCAAAGUAGAGGCGAGUGGAAUUGCGAGUGUAGAGGUGAAAUUCGUAGAUAUUCGCAGGAACACCAGUGGCGAAGGCGACUCGCUGGACUUUUGCUGACGCUGAGACGCGAAAGCGUGGGGAGCAAACAGG